RNAcentral lists this transfer RNA (76 nucleotides) under Bacillota bacterium. Its description in RNAcentral is "Firmicutes bacterium (anaerobic digester metagenome) tRNA-Met". It matches the Rfam family "tRNA". Rfam says of the family: Transfer RNA (tRNA) molecules are approximately 80 nucleotides in length. Their secondary structure includes four short double-helical elements and three loops (D, anti-codon, and T loops). The record is from RNAcentral. Lineage: Bacteria; Bacillati; Bacillota.
CGCGGGGUAGAGCAGCCGGUAGCUCGUCGGGCUCAUAACCCGGAGGUCGCUGGUUCGAAUCCAGCCCCCGCUACCA